UAGAGUUUGAUUCUGGCUCAGGAUGAACGCUAGCGGCAGGCCUAACACAUGCAAGUCGAGGGGUAGAACACUUCGGUGUUUGAGACCGGCGCACGGGUGCGUAACGCGUAUGCAAUCUACCUUGUACAGGGGAAUAGCCCAGAGAAAUUUGGAUUAAUGCCCCAUAGUAUAUAACCUUCGCAUGUUGGUUAUAUUAAAGUUCCAACGGUACAAGAUGAGCAUGCGUCCCAUUAGUUAGUUGGUAAGGUAACGGCUUACCAAGACGAUGAUGGGUAGGGGUCCUGAGAGGGAGAUCCCCCACACUGGUACUGAGACACGGACCAGACUCCUACGGGAGGCAGCAGUGAGGAAUAUUGGUCAAUGGUCGCAAGACUGAACCAGCCAUGCCGCGUGCAGGAAGACGGUCCUAUGGAUUGUAAACUGCUUUUAUACAGGAAGAAACCCUCCCACGUGUGGGAGCUUGACGGUACUGUAGGAAUAAGGAUCGGCUAACUCCGUGCCAGCAGCCGCGGUAAUACGGAGGAUCCAAGCGUUAUCCGGAAUCAUUGGGUUUAAAGGGUCCGUAGGCGGUCUUAUAAGUCAGUGGUGAAAGCCCAUCGCUCAACGAUGGAACUGCCAUUGAUACUGUAAGACUUGAAUGCUUAGGAAGUAACUAGAAUAUGUAGUGUAGCGGUGAAAUGCUUAGAUAUUACAUGGAAUACCAAUUGCGAAGGCAGGUUACUACUAAGUGAUUGACGCUGAUGGACGAAAGCGUGGGGAGCGAACAGGAUUAGAUACCCUGGUAGUCCACGCCGUAAACGAUGGAUACUAGCUGUUCGGCGCAAGUUGAGUGGCUAAGCGAAAGUGAUAAGUAUCCCACCUGGGGAGUACGCACGCAAGUGUGAAACUCAAAUGAAUUGACGGGG
This 905-nucleotide ribosomal RNA is filed under the name Flavobacterium cucumis. Its description in RNAcentral is "bacterial SSU rRNA". It matches the Rfam family "Bacterial small subunit ribosomal RNA", at positions 1 to 918 of the family's 1533-position model. Lineage: Bacteria; Pseudomonadati; Bacteroidota; Flavobacteriia; Flavobacteriales; Flavobacteriaceae. The record is from RNAcentral.